This 254-nucleotide ribosomal RNA is filed under the name uncultured bacterium. RNAcentral's name for it is "partial 16S ribosomal RNA". It matches the Rfam family "Bacterial small subunit ribosomal RNA", at positions 524 to 776 of the family's 1533-position model. The record is from RNAcentral.
UACGUAGGGGGCAAGCGUUGUCCGGAUUUAUUGGGCGUAAAGAGCUCGUAGGCGGCUUGGCAAGUCGGGUGUGAAAACUCCAGGCUCAACCUGGAGAUGCCACUCGAGACUGCUAUGGCUAGAGUCCGGUAGGGGACCACGGAAUUCCUGGUGUAGCGGUGAAAUGCGCAGAUAUCAGGAGGAACACCGGUGGCGAAGGCGGGUCUCUGGGCCGUAACUGACGCUGAGGAGCGAAAGCGUGGGGAGCGAACAGG